Stegodyphus mimosarum is the source of this 73-nucleotide non-coding RNA. The record is from Rfam. NCBI's taxonomy places the organism in Eukaryota, Metazoa, Arthropoda, Arachnida, Araneae, Eresidae.
GCCUUCAUGGUGUAGUGGUCAGCACGCUCGACGUGAAUUCGAGAGGUCCGUAGUUCGAGUCCCGGCGAGGGCA